GAAAAGCACCCCGGGAGGGGAGUGAAAAAGAACCUGAAACCUUGUGUUUACAAGCACUCAAAGCUCGUCAAGGAGCGAUGAGGUACUUUUUGUAGAACGGUCCGGCGAGUUAAGGUAUGCAGCCAUGGUUAAGUACUCAGAGGUACGGAGCCCAAGGGAAACCGAGUGUUAACAGCGCGAAUGUUGCAUGCUUUAGACCCGAAACCGGGUGACCUAUCCAUGAGCAGGUUGAAGUGAAGGUGAAACUUCAUGGAGGACCGAACCGACCCUCGUUGAAAAGAUGGCGGAUGACUUGUGGAUAGCGGAGAAAUUCCAAUCGAACUCGGAUAUAGCUGGUUCUCCCCGAAAUAGCUUUAGGGCUAGCCUCAUAUACGCGAAUGCGUAAUGUAUUACCGGAGGUAAAGCACUGACCGGCCUAGGGGUCGAAAGAUUACCGAAGCCUAUCAAACUAAGAAUGCCGGAUAAUAUAGAAUGGGAGUCAGACAGUGUGAGAUAAGUCUCAUUGUCAAAAGGGAAACAGCCCAGACCUACAGCUAAGGUCCCUAAUGUAUGUUAAGUGGAAAAGGAUGUGGAAUUGCGAAAACAACCAGGAUGUUGGCUCAGAAGCAGCCACUCAUUAAAAGAGUGCGUAAUAGCUCACUGGUCGAGUGAUUCUGCGCCGAAGAUGUAACGGGGCUAAACAUACAACCGAAGCUUGGGAUAUAUCUUAAAGAUAUGUGGUAGGGGAGCGUUCUGUUAUAGGGAGAAGCGAUAGCGAAAGCGGUCGUGGACGAAACAGAAGUGAGAAUGCCGGAAUGAGUAGCGAGAAUUAUGUGAGAAUCAUAAUGGCCGAAAAUCUUAGGUUUCCGGGGGAAGGCUCGUCCGCCCCGGGUAAGCCGGAGCUAAGGUGAGACCGAAAGGUGUAACCGAUGCACAUACGGUAGAAAUUCCGUAGCCAUCGAAAUUGUUAAGUAAGAGGACGCUUGGAGAUAGGAUAACCCCGCAGUUGGUGAUGGGGCGAAAGGGAUCGAAAUAUAGUAGAGAAGUAUCCGAUGCUCCGAGACGAGAAAAGUCUUAUGAAUUGAUUAGAUGACCGUACCGCAAACCGACACAGGUAGAUGAGGAGAGAAUCCUAAGGCCAGCGAGAGAAAGGUUGUUAAGGAACUCGGCAAAAUUACCCCGUAACUUAGGGAUAAGGGGAGCUCUCGAAAGAGAGCCGCAGCGAAUAAGCCCAGGCGACUGUUUAGCAAAAACACAGGUCUCUGCUAAAUCGAAAGAUGAUGUAUAGGGGCUGACGCCUGCCCAGUGCUGGAAGGUUAAGGAGAGAUGUCAGAGCAAUCGAAGCAUUGACCCGAAGCCCCAGUGAACGGCGGCCGUAACUAUAACGGUCCUAAGGUAGCGAAAUUCCUUGUCAGGUAAGUUCUGACCCGCACGAAUGGCGUAACGAUCUGGGCACUGUCUCAACAGCCUGCUCGGUGAAAUUGUAGAACUGGUGAAGAUGCCAGUUACCCGCGAUUAGACGGAAAGACCCCAUGGAGCUUUACUGCAGCUUGAUAUUGGGUUCUGAUGAUAGAUGUACAGGAUAGGUGGGAGACUUAGAAACAGAGGCGUCAGCUUCUGCGGAGUCGCCGUUGGGAUACCACUCUUUUAUUAUUGGAAUUCUAACCUGUUCCCGUGAAUCCGGGAAAGGGACACUGUCAGGCAGGCAGUUUGACUGGGGCGGUCGCCUCCAAAAGAGUAACGGAGGCGUUCAAAGGUUGGCUCAGCAUGGACGGAAACCAUGCAUAGAGUGUAAACGCAGAAGCCAGCCUAACUGCGAGAGAGACAUUUCGAGCAGUAACGAAAGUUGGAGUUAGUGAUCCGGUGGUA
Molecule: ribosomal RNA, 1848 nt
Filed under: human gut metagenome
Description: bacterial LSU rRNA
Rfam family: Bacterial large subunit ribosomal RNA
Source: RNAcentral